UUCGCAAUGCCCGAAAGGGUGACGAAGCGACGCCGCGUGGGUGAAGAAGGCCUUCGGGUUGUAAAGCCCUGUCAGGAGUUAUGAAAUGUAGGUGCGAUAGUACCGUGCCUAUUUGACAAAGGCUCCAAAGGAAGCCACGGCUAACUCUGUGCCAGCAGCCGCGGUAAUACAGAGGUGGCAAGCGUUGUUCGGAAUUAUUGGGCGUAAAGAGCACGUAGGUGGGUUUGUAAGUCAGAUGUGAAAGCCUUCUGUUCAACGGAAGAAUUGCAUCUGAAACUGCGAGUCUUGAGUGUAGGAGGGGAGAAUGGAACUUCUGGUGGAGCGGUGAAAUGCGUAGAUAUCAGAAGGAACGCCGGCGGCGAAAGCGAUUCUCUGGCCUAUUACUGACACUGAGUGUGCGAAAGCUAGGGGAGCAAACGGGAUUAGAUACCCCGGUAGUCCUAGCCGUAAACGAUGGGCACUAAGUAGAGGGGUUUU
RNAcentral lists this ribosomal RNA (477 nucleotides) under Candidatus Scalindua marina (nom. nud.). Its description in RNAcentral is "bacterial SSU rRNA". It matches the Rfam family "Bacterial small subunit ribosomal RNA", at positions 365 to 832 of the family's 1533-position model. Lineage: Bacteria; Pseudomonadati; Planctomycetota; Candidatus Brocadiia; Candidatus Brocadiales; Candidatus Scalinduaceae. The record is from RNAcentral.